GAUUAACGCUGGCGGCGUGCAUAACACAUGCAAGUCGAACGAUGGAACUUUAAUGAACCCUUCGGGGAGAAUUAAAGCGGAUUAGUGGCGAACGGGUGAGUAACGCGUGAGUAACCUGCCUUACACAAGGGGAUAGCCUUUGGAAACGAAGAAUAAUACCCUAUAAAACCAUAAAAGCACAUGCAAUUAUGGUCAAAGUGAUAGCGGUGUAAGAUGGACUUGCGUCUGAUUAGCUAGUUGGUGAGAUAAAAGCCCACCAAGGCAACGAUCAGUAGCCGGCUUGAGAGAGUGUACGGCCACAUUGGGACUGAGACACGGCCCAGACUCCUACGGGAGGCAGCAGUGGGGAAUUUUGCACAAUGGGGGAAACCCUGAUGCAGCGACGCCGCGUGAUUUAGAAGGCCUUCGGGUUGUAAAAAUCUUUUGUAUAGGAAGAAAAUGACAGUACUAUACGAAUAAGGGCCGGCUAAUUACGUG
RNAcentral lists this ribosomal RNA (477 nucleotides) under uncultured bacterium. RNAcentral describes it as "partial 16S ribosomal RNA". It matches the Rfam family "Bacterial small subunit ribosomal RNA", at positions 28 to 507 of the family's 1533-position model. The record is from RNAcentral.